This 443-nucleotide ribosomal RNA is filed under the name uncultured bacterium. RNAcentral's name for it is "partial 16S ribosomal RNA". It matches the Rfam family "Bacterial small subunit ribosomal RNA", at positions 338 to 795 of the family's 1533-position model. The record is from RNAcentral.
CCUACGGGAGGCAGCAGUGGGGAAUAUUGGGCAAUGGGCGCAAGCCUGACCCAGCAACGCCGCGUGAAGGAAGAAGGCUCUCGGGUUGUAAACUUCUUUUAUCAGGGACGAAGCAAGUGACGGUACCUGAUGAAUAAGCCACGGCUAACUACGUGCCAGCAGCCGCGGUAAUACGUAGGUGGCAAGCGUUAUCCGGAUUUACUGGGUGUAAAGGGCGUGUAGGCGGGAAGGCAAGUCAGAUGUGAAAACCAUGGGCUCAACCUGUGGCCUGCAUUUGAAACUGUUUUGCUUGAGUACUGGAGAGGCAGGCGGAAGUCCUAGUGUAGCGGUGAAAUGCGUAGAUAUUAGGAGGAACACCAGUGGCGAAGGCGGUCUGCUGGACAGCAACUGACGCUGAGGCGCGAAAGCGUGGGGAGCAAACAGGAUUAGAUACCCGUGUAGUC